ACAAAGUAAGCUUGGAAGUAGCUAUCUUUUAAUGAUAGUGUAACAACUCAAUAGUCUAAAAUUCUAGAAUUUUGUAAGAAAUUCUAGAUUGAUAGAAGGCAUCGAAGAUUUAUCGGGUCUGAAAUAUCUAACCUACAUUAUGAUCUUAUUUAUUAUUGAAAGUAAUAAUAAAUAGGAAGGUAGCAGAACACUUAGUAUUCAGUGUGAAGAAAUGAAUAAAUUCAUUUUGGACAAUACUAAAGAGAGAAUGCUGGCAUGAGUAACGAUAAAGGAGUUAGAAUACUCCUCGCCGAAAACGAAAGGGUUUCAUGGAAAAGGUAAUCUGCCAUGAUUUAUACGGCUUCUAAGGGAAAUGAACGAAUUGUCAUUUUCUGAUGAAAGAAAGAAAUAAACAACCUUAGAAAUAAGGUUCAGGAAAAAUAUUUCUUCUAUAAAUAGUAACCGUACCUGAAACCGACACAGGUUCGUGGGUAGAGAAUACUAAGGCGUAGAGAUAAGGCUAGUGAAGGAACUCGGCAAAUUGCUUCUGUAAGUUCGACGAUAAAGAAGAAGAGAUAAUGAUGAGAUAUGAGAAUAUCUUAUCUUAUUUCUUGGCACAAAAGUGAGGGCUUCGACUGUUUACUAAAAACACAGCAACUUGCUAAGACGAAAAGUACUUGUAUAAGUUGUGAACUCUGUCCAAUGCCAUUUGUAUAAAGAAGGUAAUCUUCUUAAAGAAGUGUUACUGACUGAUGCGGUGGUGAAUGACGGUCUUAACUAUAAGGAUCUGAAAGUAGCGAAAUUCCUUGGCCAUUAAAUGUGGUCCUGCAUGAAUGAGGUAACGCGGCCCUGCUGUCUCCACUAGCUUCUCAGUGAAAUUGAAUUAGCCGUGCAGAUGCGGUUUGCCUUCCGGAGGACGCGAAGACCCUAUGCAGCUUUACUGUAUUCUGAUAUUGCCGUUUGUGAUAUAUAGUGUAGAAUACAAGGGAGUGAAAACAUCCGUGAAAUACCUUGAUAUAUUGAAAUGAAUGGCUUAUUUAUAAAAAGACAGUGUCAGAUGGUCAGUUUUACUGGGGCGGUAGCCUCUAAAAAAGUAUCAGAGGCCUUCAAAGGUAUAUUUAUAUUGGUCGGAAACCAAUGGAAGAAUAGUAUUCUAUCAAAAUGUAAUGAUAAAGUAUGCUUUACUGAAAGAUUGAUAAAUCGAUCAGUUACGCAAGUAGGAUAUAGUGAUCCGAUGAUUCAGAAUGGAAUGAUCAUCGCUCAAGAAAUAAAAGUUACGCUAGGGAUAACAGGUUUAUCGUUUGCGAGAGUUCAUAUUGUCCAAACGGUUUGACACCUCGAUGUCGACUCUUCUCAUCCUCCAGGUGUAGUCGCUUGGAAGGGUUCAGCUGUUCGCUGAGUAAAGAGGAACGUGAGUUGGGUUUAAUACGACGUGAGUCAGUAUAGAUUCUAUCCUCGGAAGGAAACAAGAAUAGAAGAAGAACCUCUAAUUUGUACGAAAGGACCGUUAGAGAGAAUUCCAUGGUGUAUCUAUUGUUGUAGAAAUAUGGCACAGUAGAGUAGCUACAAUUCUAAAAGAUAAAUACUGAAAGCAUAUCAAGUGUGAAACAGAUCUUCUGAUAUUCUCAAAUAAGAAAAA
Molecule: ribosomal RNA, 1618 nt
Filed under: Melanotaenia splendida tatei (desert rainbowfish)
Lineage: Eukaryota; Metazoa; Chordata; Actinopteri; Atheriniformes; Melanotaeniidae
Description: bacterial LSU rRNA
Rfam family: Bacterial large subunit ribosomal RNA
Source: RNAcentral